This is a long non-coding RNA of Entelurus aequoreus (snake pipefish), 2729 nucleotides long. RefSeq lists it as uncharacterized. The transcript has 11 exons. NCBI's taxonomy places the organism in Eukaryota, Metazoa, Chordata, Actinopteri, Syngnathiformes, Syngnathidae. The record is from RefSeq and is a predicted model, not a curated record.
UUCAGGUUAAGAGUCAACACAAGCGACUAAUCUCGGCCCUGCUGUAUCAACAAGUAGACCCGAACAACUUUUUGAUGCACAUUCUCAACUCCUGCCUCGUCAAUAACACAUCUCUACAUUGGUCCGAGAAGGUGACCGAAUGAGUGGACUUCCAGUCGGAGCUCCUUUGGAUAUGCUGUUGCCGUUGUGGCUCAUGUAGCUGAAGCUGUCCAAGUAGUGUCCCGGCAGGGAGUCGUCUCCAAGCUCACGGAGGUCCUCUGCUCUCAGGUACUCGCUGCCGUCACCUGUCAUCGUGUCCUCACCUGCAUGGUCGUACACAUACUGGAGGCGGACUACCUCCUUCUGCCCGGCCAGCGAGGCGAUGUGGAGGGCAGUGUUUCCUUUCUGCAAGGCAUCAAAGGUUGCAAGGUAACACACAUACCUUAGUGGACGAGUCAACAGGUGCUCCUCUGUCCAACAGUUCCUCCACGAGAUCCUGGUGUCCCUCUUUGGCUGCCAAAUGCAAGGCAUUCAGUCCAUUCUGGAAGUGACUAUCAACAAAGUUGUGCAGGUCCAAAGUUGCAGUCCAGUUCUCUCCUUCCCCACAGCCUGCUGGCUCUGAAGAUCAGGCUGGCACUGGACUCUUCUGCUGCCAACACCACUUUGUCCACGCGCUCACCCGCCCAUAAAUGAAGCCACUUAAAUGCCAAGAGGGGUGUCACCUUACUGUGCCAUCUUUUCUGCAGCGUCACACAGGUGACUUUGGCACCGUCCUCACCUGGUUGCACGUGCUGAUGUCCACGCCAUUCUUCAAGAACUCCAGGACUUUAUCGAUGUUUCCAGCUCUGGCCGCCCGCAGGAAACUGGUGUUGCUGUCCGACUGGAAGGAGAGGAAGAGAUCGAGCCACACACGUUGCUGCGUUGCCCAUGUUGACCAGAUCCACACCUCAGUGCUCAGCUGGAGAACCUUGGACCAGCUAGACCAGCAGUCCUCCUGUCCAAGUAUUUCCACUUCAGUCCCAUUUCCCGGCCGCCGUCUCUGCCGCCGUGUGAGCCCAGGGUAGUCUGCGUGACAGCUGGCCUUGGCUGGGACUGGCGAGGCCUGAGAGACUCUCCAAGUACGCCAAAAGUCAUAAUAGUGCACAGGAGGUCAGGCCUGGACCAACGACUCAGGUAUCUGCGAUGAGGUGGCGACUUGUCCAGGGUGUACCCCGCCUUCCGCCCGAUUGUAGCUGAGAUAGGCUCCAGCGCCCGCCGCGACCCCGAAGGGAAUAAGCGGUAGAAAAUGGAUGGAUGGAUGGAUGGUUUAAGGAUAUUGAUUGUGAGCUGCAGCUGAGUCACAUGACCCACGCCUGAUUGGCUGAGAAGAUAUGACCAUGCACUCGGGACCACAAGGAGAUGGAUGGAUGGGUCCACUGGGUGCGGUCGGGUGGGCUUUAGUCACGAUGACGUCACACUUGAAUAUGAAAACAGGUGCAUAAAUGAUAACACCACAAAGGUUGCAGACAGUAUUGCGUUCACAGAUAUGAUCUAGACCUCAGCCCCCGUGGGACAACACCCGAGUAACAAGGUGGAGACGAGGCUGGGGGAGGUGUCCUUGAGGUCCUGAUGGAGUCUCAUGAGACGGAUGGGUGGGGGAGCAGGAGGAAAAGAAGGACCCCGCCUUGUAGCAGCCAUGUUAGUGUGUAACAAGACGUCCUUCAGGGCUGUAAACAAGGCUGUCUUCUCUCGCUGCCUUCCUGGCACAGCAACGCAUUAACUGAUUGCUUUUGCUACAUCAUCGCCCUCUUCUUUUUUAUUUUAACACCUGAGUAGUCUCCAGUACACCAAAUAUGCAAGUUCUAUGAGUACAUCCCUUCACUUCCUACAGACCACACCAGGGUUGGCUACUAAAUUUGGUACUUUUAUGGGCACUGACUGACUACCGUAUUUUUAGGACUAUAGAGUGCACACCUAGUAUAUAAGCCACACCCACUAAAUUUUAGAAGAAAAACAUAUUUCCUAUAGCCGCAGAUAUUUACGUUGUGAAAUGAGUUAUUUACACAGGAAUAUUUUGUAAAUGUUUAUUUGAAAUGAAGUAAUGACAUACAAUGUCAUAAUUGUUUGAAUUAUAGCACGUUAUAAUACGUUCCAAUUAUGAGAUAAAAAUAUCUAAGAGAUAAAAAUGUGUAAUAAUGAGACAAAAAGUCAAAAUUCUGAGAGAAAAAGUUGAAAUUAUGAGAUAAAAAGUCAAAAUUAUGAGAUAAAAAAGUCACAAUUAAAAGAAAAAUGUGUAAUUAUGAGACAGAGUCAAAAUUCUGAGAUAAAAAGUCGAAAUCAUGAGAUAAAAACUCAUAAUAAUGACAUAAAAAAAAUCGAAAAUGUGAUAUUAAAAUGUGGUAACUAUAGAAUCAAAAUUCAUAAUUACGAGUAAAAAGUCAAAAUUGUGUGAUAAAGAAUCAUCAUUAUGAGAAAAAAGUAAUUAUGAGAUGAAAGAUCGAAAUGAUGACAAAAAAUGUCAUAAUUGUGAGAUAAGUUUAAAUUAUGAGAUAGAAAGUUGAACUAUGAGAUAAAAAGUCAACAAGAUAAAAAUUCGUAAUUGUGAGACAAAAAGUCUAAAUGAUUAGAUAAAAAUAUAAUUAUGAGUGAAAAAUGUCGAAAUGAUGUGAUAAAGAAAAGAGAAAAGUAAUUAUUAGGAGAUGAAAGGUUGAAAUAAUGAGAUAAAAUGUCAUAAUUGUGAGAUAAGCCGAAAUUAUGAGAUAAAAAGUUGA